Long non-coding RNA from Macaca mulatta (Rhesus monkey), 2011 nucleotides. Lineage: Eukaryota; Metazoa; Chordata; Mammalia; Primates; Cercopithecidae. The record is from Ensembl.
GGACUGCCCUCACAGCCCAGCCGCAGGCCGAGUCCCGACCCGCCCCUCGGAAGCCGGAGCAGGCCUGUGCUGAUCGUGCUGCAUAGGAGGACGCGCCGUGGAACUCCCAUCGCUUCCGCACAGACGCUCUCACUCCAUCCAGCCACUAAUGCGAGGAUGGCAGCGUCUGAGCGUCUGCGUGGGAUGGGCCCCGUGAACGCGCUCAGCGCUGCGAGGUGGCACCCAGGCUCCAGCCCAGAGCAACCAGGCGCAGCCGGACGUGCCAGAGGGCCGGGGCGUGUCCCCAGAGCCCCAGGGCCAGCGGGGCCCGGGCGGCAGAGGAGGAGCGCACAAUGCUCUCCACCAGCACUUCUGACUGAGAAACUCAAACGAGUUUCUGUUCCCUUUCCAGGACUUAGAACGAACAGAAAACCAAACAUUUCACCAGAGCCAUUUGCUUCUUCUCCAGGAAAACACCUGGCAGGACUUAUCUCCAGGGCCGCUAGCUGACUGCACAACGAAUGCACAAUGCACAACGGCGAGUCUUUCCAGGCUUAGAUAUGCCAACUAUUGGUUUGACCCCAGAAACUUUGAAAAUACACAUUUUGCAUACUUCUGCACAUUGUGGACGACUCUACGCAGCUUGCAUAACCGUGCUCUUCUUGUCCCGAGCCCCACACCCCUGUCACAGACAGGAGGAGGAUGCUUCAAAGCUGCCACUGGAGACGGAGACAGCACAUGGUUGUUGUGGAAAAGUCUCUUUCAGGCAACACCUCUCCAUCAUCCACACCAGCCUGGCCUCACCAUCCCUGCUGCCGUACCCUCCCAGGCCUCCACUACCACUGGACCUCACGACUGGAGCAGCUUCCUAACCAGGGGGCCAGCCUGAGGCUGUUCCCCCAAAUUAUUUCCAUCUUUCCAACCACCUUUCUAAAGCAUUCCUUAGCUUAUACACAGGUAGAUAUUAACUGGAAGAUAAAAUCCAACUUAUUCAGCGUGAUGUUCCAAUCUCUUGACAGUCUUCCAACUGGAUCAAGGACCCAUUCAUUUUUGUCUCCUGAUGUCUGUCUUCCCUACCAGGCUUCAGGUAACAUUUAAGUAACUAUGCUUGUGAUUGCUUAAAAAUACAUUCAGGCCAGGCACGGUGGCUCAUGCCUGUAAUCCCAGCACUCUGGGAGGCUGAGACAGGCAGAUCACUUGAGGUCAGGAGUUCGAGACCAGCCUGGCCAACAUAGUAAAACCCUGAAAAAUACAAAAAUCAGCCCGGCAUGAUGGCGUCCACCUGUAGUCCCAGCUACUCGGGAGGCUGAGGCAGGAGAAUCACUUGAUCCUGGGAGGCGGAGGUUGCAGUGAGCUGAGAUGGUGUCACUGCACUCCAGCCUGGGGGACAGAACAAGACUCCAUCUCAAAAAAAAAAAAAAAAAGCUCAUGUUAUAAAAUCAUCUUCCCUACUAAAGAGCUCUUAUGCAAACAUGGGAUUUUACUGUAAGUCAGACGUAAUUGCAUAAAGUAAUGAAGAAAUCAAAAUUUACAUUCAAAUGACACACUAAUGAUAAGUCGUUUUUGGCUAUUCCUUAAUUCAGAAGGCUUCUCACCCUAUCCCCCUCUGAAACAUAACCUGUUUCAGGCCUCCUGCAGAUGCUUGUGGCCAAAACCACCUUAUUUACUUUUGUGGUGGCUGUUCUUGCUGGGGCUUCAUAAAUGUUGGUUGAAUCGAAAUAAAAUGAUGGUCCUUUCAUUUCUUUACUCAGAAAUAUUUACUUAUUACGUGGACCACAGAAUUCGGGACAGUUAUUGUGAGUAGUUCCUGAUUCUCUUUGUGUCUCGAGCACUUACAUAGAAACUAUUUUUCAAAUACGUGUGUAGUUAUUACAUACAAAUAAUACAUUAGAAAUUCAUUUUUAACAUUCAUAAAAUUCAGUAGAAUAUGAUCAUUGGAUAGUUUCACAAUCAAUGAAUUCUAAAGGCAAUGUAAACUUAUGAUCACAAUGGUUAUUAGGAUUUCCAUUUAUGUGGACUAGAUGUAGACUAG